UAUGCUUAUAAAUCAGUUUCCAUGUGUUCAAGGCUUGUUUAUGAAAAUUGGACAUAAUAGGAAUUUAAGAACACUUAAAAUCACAAGUUAGUAAAAAGUGUAGGCCACCACAUCAGUUAAACAGACUUACGCAUCCAUGUGGUUGUUAAAGCGUAAAAACAGAUGAAAGACACAUUAGCAGCGGGCUGGUGCAAAAACUCCAUUGCAAAUACUGGGGUAAAAUUAAUUUCUAUAUUUUAAAGACAUGACGCGAAAAAAUAGAAGUUAAUGCAGUGCUUCUUGUUUGGUCUGAUACACUUUAUAUUGUAUCUCAGCCAGGCAGUGAAGAUCGCUGUGUUUUUUUAUUUUUAUUUAAGAAAUCAGAUCUGAAACAUGGCGAUUAUCUAUGAGAUGACAAUUUACCGGAAGCCCUAGGGCUGGCUGACUAAAAUUAAAAGUCCGUGUAAAUAUACUCCUUUGAGCGUUUUAAGUCACAUUUAAAAACAUUGUCAGAAUGUCUUCCAAUUAUAAUGUGCAAGAUGAAAGCUGCUGACUAUUACACGCUUUUUAAAGGACAGAUAAAUGGGCGCUGCUAAAGAAACUUAACAUUCCCUCCACCGAACAUAGUAGCCUGCUGAUUUUAUUAGUUUGAUUUACUUUCCUCAAACUGAGUGUUUGACGCGCAUGCGCGGCAUUGCGCGCUCACCAAACGAGGCUCAAACAAGUCUGUGAAGUUUACUACAGUGCAGUCUGAGGAUCUUUUUCGCCGUUUCAAAAUGAAGAUACUUGCUUGAAGCCAAGGGUAUAUCCGUAAAAUGUAAGUUAAGGGUUGUGGAAACAUUUCUCAAACGUAUUUACAGCACAGUUUACAGUAAACUGUAGGCCUAUGCUACUUUGUUUGUUUGAAGCGUUCAAAGUUUCGGACAACUUGGAGGCUCAGUUAGAGACUAUGCAAGAAAGGCUAUGAAGAGCAAGCUCCAAGUUGGCGCCACCUCCUGGCAGAACACUGGAGGCACUCAGGUCAAGAAGAUUCUCCACUGAGUGCUCUGUUUUCCACAGCCAAGGAAGACAGCAGGUUGCAGAAGAGCCCUGUGCCACUGCGUGUCGGGUUCAGCAUUGGAGGUGGCGUAUAGUGAGAUAUAGUUUCUUCCCAGUUCUUCAUGAGCUCCCUGCUCAGCUGGAUCACACUGCUGAAAGGCACUCCAGUAUAGACAGAACAGGGAACAUUCUACACGAGACAACAGGAAAACACAAAGCUGCAAGUGAGUGAUGAUGCA
Non-coding RNA from Danio rerio (zebrafish), 1256 nucleotides. NCBI's taxonomy places the organism in Eukaryota, Metazoa, Chordata, Actinopteri, Cypriniformes, Danionidae. The record is from RefSeq and is a predicted model, not a curated record.